CGGUGCGGUCCACAUACAUCCUUUAGACCGCGCACGCCCCCGCGCCCCCGUGCAAUCAAGAAUUAAGCACGUUGACGUAGGAUUCCUUCUUUCUUUAAUCGUUUCUUUGAUCGUCGUCGCCGGAUUGGAGGGAGGAGAGCGAGGAGUAGACGGGUGGGAGGGCGGCGAUAAUGGAGACGGACACCGACGCCGCGGUCGCCUUCGGCGGCCGGACGGUGAAGGUGAUCCCGUUCCAGCACGCGUCGACGUCGUCGCCGCCCCCGCAGCAGCCGUCGGCGACGCUGGUGGCCAGAUGGGGGGCGAAGCUCCGGGCGAUGACGGCCGUGGAGUGGAUGGAGCUCUUCCUCCCGUGCUCCAGCUGGAUCCGGACAUACCGCUGGCGGGAAUACCUCAAGGUCGACCUCAUGUCCGGCCUCACCGUCGGUGUCAUGCUCGUCCCUCAGGCAAUGUCAUAUGCAAAGCUGGCAGGGCUUCAUCCAAUAUAUGGGCUUUAUUCAGGGUUCGUUCCAAUAUUCAUAUAUGCUAUAUUUGGAUCAUCACGUCAACUGGCAGUUGGUCCGGUGGCAUUAGUAUCGCUCUUGGUGUCUAAUGUCUUGAGCCACAUAGUUGAACCUUCUAAUGAGCUGUACACUGAGCUUGCAAUAUUGUUGGCGCUGAUGGUUGGCAUAUUGGAAUGUCUCAUGGCUUUGCUAAGGCUUGGGUGGCUUAUUCGUUUUAUUAGUCAUUCUGUAAUAUCUGGCUUCACUACUGCUUCCGCCAUUUCAAUCGCCUUGUCUCAAGCCAAAUACUUCUUGGGGUACAAUAUAGCACGAAGCAGCGAAAUUAUACCAAUAAUUAGAAGCAUAAUUGCUGGUUUUGGCGAAUUCUCAUGGCCGCCCUUCGUGAUGGGGUCAAUUUUUCUUGCAGGUCUUCUCCUGAUGAAGCACUUGGGUAAAUCCAAGAAGUGUUUGCGAUGGCUAAGAGCAGCUGGCCCCCUUACAGCGGUUGUACUGGGCAUAAUUUUUGUGAAAUUAUUUCAUCCGUAUUCAAUUUCAGUGGUUGGUGAAAUACCCCAGGGCCUUCCAAAGUUCUCAAUACCUAGAGGAUUUCAGCAUGUGAAGUCUCUACUUUCAACUGCGGUUCUCAUUACUGGUGUGGCCAUUCUGGAAUCUGUGGGGAUUGCUAAAGCUUUGGCUGCAAAGAAUGGUUAUGAGUUAGACUCAAAUCAAGAGUUGUUUGGGCUAGGCGUGGCAAAUAUUUGUGGGUCAUUCUUCUCUGCAUACCCUAUAACUGGAUCUUUUUCUAGAUCAGCUGUAAAUCAUGAGAGUGGGGCCAAAACUGGAUUGUCUGGAAUCGUAAUGGGAAUUAUUAUGGGAUGUGCUCUUUUGUUUAUGACACCACUGUUUAGUGAAAUACCUCAGUGUGCCCUGGCUGCAAUUGUGAUAUCUGCUGUAAUGGGCCUGGUGGAUUACGAAGAAGCCUUAUUCUUGUGGCGUAUAGAUAAAAAAGAUUUUCUUCUCUGGACAAUCACUUUUAUUACAACACUAAUCUUUGGUAUUGAGAUUGGUGUUAUUGUUGGGGUUGGCUUCUCACUUGCAUUCGUCAUCCAUGAAUCAGCAAAUCCACACAUAGCUUUAUUGGGGCGUCUUCCUGGAACAACUGUUUACAGAAAUAUUCUACAAUAUCCUGAAGGAUAUACAUAUAAUGGAAUAGUUGUUGUUCGAAUUGAUGCACCUAUCUAUUUUGCAAACAUCAGCUAUAUCAAAGACAGGCUACGGGAAUAUGAACGCAAUCUUUCAGGAACUGCAAACCGUGGACCGGAUGUCGGGAGAAUAUAUUUCGUAAUUCUUGAGAUGUCACGGCUUUAAUCAAUUGUUAGCGGGGGAAACUAGUGCCAUCUGCAGGACAUGGGAUCCAACCAACCCAGUUCAGCAAUUUCACAUGAAAAUUCCAUCCCAAUUCAAAGCAAAGCUGUUACAUAUAUAGACGCCAGUGCUGUUCAAGCUCUCAAAGACCUUCAUCAGGAGUACAAUUCACGUGGUAUCCAGAUUGCAGUUGCAAACCCAAACCCGGAAGUUCAUCGGUUACUUUCAAGAUCUGGUCUCAUAGACCUGAUUGGCAAGGAAUGGUGUUUUGUGAGGGUCCAUGAUGCCGUACAAGUUUGUCUACAACAUGUGCAGAACUUGGAUGGGAUAACUCCAACAGCGGUAGACAGGACUCCUAGGAGGCAGCAGAAUUUCCUGCAGAGCCUACGGCAGCAUGAAGGUGGAGGUAACUCCGUAGUGGAGCCGCUCUUGCCACAAGAGAGAGUUUGAAAGUGUUUAUUCUCAUAGCUGGUUAUUUUUGGAGCUGUGAAUUGUAAAUGCAGGCACUCCAAUUCAAAUAUUUCACCCAAGCAUGACUCUGAUUUCUAUCACAAUUGUUUCCUUGAAAUCACAUAUAUUUGUUUCAUUCUUGAUAUAUUCGUUGGAUAUCUCUUUCUCA
Phoenix dactylifera (date palm) is the source of this 2463-nucleotide non-coding RNA. NCBI's taxonomy places the organism in Eukaryota, Viridiplantae, Streptophyta, Magnoliopsida, Arecales, Arecaceae. The record is from RefSeq and is a predicted model, not a curated record.